Molecule: ribosomal RNA, 805 nt
Filed under: Micromonospora globispora
Lineage: Bacteria; Bacillati; Actinomycetota; Actinomycetes; Micromonosporales; Micromonosporaceae
Description: bacterial SSU rRNA
Rfam family: Bacterial small subunit ribosomal RNA
Source: RNAcentral
ACUCGAGCGGCGAACGGGUGAGUAACACGUGAGCAACCUGCCCUAGGCUUUGGGAUAACCCCGGGAAACCGGGGCUAAUACCGAAUAGGACUGCUGGUCGCAUGACUGGUGGUGGAAAGUUUUUCGGCCUGGGAUGGGCUCGCGGCCUAUCAGCUUGUUGGUGGGGUGAUGGCCUACCAAGGCGACGACGGGUAGCCGGCCUGAGAGGGCGACCGGCCACACUGGGACUGAGACACGGCCCAGACUCCUACGGGAGGCAGCAGUGGGGAAUAUUGCACAAUGGGCGGAAGCCUGAUGCAGCGACGCCGCGUGAGGGAUGACGGCCUUCGGGUUGUAAACCUCUUUCAGCAGGGACGAAGCGCGAGUGACGGUACCUGCAGAAGAAGCGCCGGCCAACUACGUGCCAGCAGCCGCGGUAAGACGUAGGGCGCGAGCGUUGUCCGGAUUUAUUGGGCGUAAAGAGCUCGUAGGCGGCUUGUCGCGUCGACCGUGAAAACUUGGGGCUCAACCCCAAGCCUGCGGUCGAUACGGGCAGGCUAGAGUUCGGUAGGGGAGACUGGAAUUCCUGGUGUAGCGGUGAAAUGCGCAGAUAUCAGGAGGAACACCGGUGGCGAAGGCGGGUCUCUGGGCCGAUACUGACGCUGAGGAGCGAAAGCGUGGGGAGCGAACAGGAUUAGAUACCCUGGUAGUCCACGCUGUAAACGUUGGGCGCUAGGUGUGGGGGGCCUCUCCGGUUCCCUGUGCCGCAGCUAACGCAUUAAGCGCCCCGCCUGGGGAGUACGGCCGCAAGGCUAAAACUCAAAGG